AACGCACGAGACCUGCGGACCUGCGGAAGGAUCGUUAAUGAAUAAACUUGGUCAAGCUGUUGCUGGUCUCUCGAGACAUGUGCACGCUUGCCACCAACUUUAACCACCUGUGCACCUUUUGUAGACUGGAAACGUUUCUCGAGGCAACUCGGAUUGAGAAUUGCUGCGCGCAAGCCAGCUGUUCUUGUGUUUCUCAGUCUAUGUUUUCAUAUACUCCUAAUGUAUGUAAUCGAAUGUAUU
Molecule: unclassified non-coding RNA, 240 nt
Filed under: soil metagenome
Description: partial contains 5.8S ribosomal RNA, internal transcribed spacer 2, and large subunit ribosomal RNA
Source: RNAcentral